Molecule: ribosomal RNA, 253 nt
Filed under: uncultured bacterium
Lineage: Bacteria
Description: partial 16S ribosomal RNA
Rfam family: Bacterial small subunit ribosomal RNA
Source: RNAcentral
UACGGGGGGGGCAAGCGUUGUUCGGAAUUACUGGGCGUAAAGGGCGUGUAGGCGGCCCUCUAAGUCGGACGUGAAAUCCCUCGGCUCAACCGGGGAACUGCGUCCGGUACUGGAGGGCUUGAAUCCGGGAGAGGGAUGUGGAAUUCCAGGUGUAGCGGUGAAAUGCGUAGAUAUCUGGAGGAACACCGGUGGCGAAGGCGGCAUCCUGGACCGGUAUUGACGCUGAGGCGCGAAAGCUAGGGUAGCAAACGGG